This 301-nucleotide ribosomal RNA is filed under the name uncultured bacterium. RNAcentral describes it as "partial 16S ribosomal RNA". It matches the Rfam family "Bacterial small subunit ribosomal RNA", at positions 510 to 810 of the family's 1533-position model. The record is from RNAcentral.
AGCCGCCGCGGGAAAACAGAGGAUGCAAGCGUUAAUCGGAAUUACUGGGCGUAAAGCGCACGCAGGCGGUCCGACAAGUCAGAUGUGAAAUCCCCGGGCUUAACCUGGGAACUGCAUUUGAAACUGUCAGGCUGGAGUCUUGUAGAGGGGGGUGGAAUUCCAGGUGUAGCGGUGAAAUGCGUAGAGAUCUGGAGGAAUACCGGUGGCGAAGGCGGCCCCCUGGACAAAGACUGACGCUCAGGUGCGAAAGCGUGGGGAGCAAACAGGAUUAGAUACCCGCGUAGUCCCUGUCUCUUAUCAC